Molecule: ribosomal RNA, 253 nt
Filed under: uncultured bacterium
Lineage: Bacteria
Description: partial 16S ribosomal RNA
Rfam family: Bacterial small subunit ribosomal RNA
Source: RNAcentral
UACAGAGGGUGCAAGCGUUGCUCGGAAUUAUUGGGCGUAAAGGGCAGGUAGGUGGUCUCAUUUGUCUGGGGUGAAAGCCUUGAGCUUAACUCAAGAAGUGCCCCGGAAACGGUGAGACUGGAGUAUUGGAGAGGGUCGCGGAAUUCCCGGUGUAGUGGUGGAAUGCGUAGAUAUCGGGAAGAACACCAGUGGCGAAAGCGGCUCUCUGGGGAUCACCUGACGCUGAGGCGCGAAAGCGUGGGGAGCGAACCGG